This 377-nucleotide ribosomal RNA is filed under the name uncultured eukaryote. Its description in RNAcentral is "partial 18S ribosomal RNA". It matches the Rfam family "Eukaryotic small subunit ribosomal RNA", at positions 592 to 976 of the family's 1831-position model. The record is from RNAcentral.
CAAUAGCGUAUAUUUAAGUUGCUGCAGUUAAAAAGCUCGUAGUUGGAUUUCGGGUGGGAAUGGCCGGUCCGCCGUUUCGGUGUGCACUUGCUACGCCCACCUUGCUGCCGGGGACGUGCUCUUGAGUUCACGCUCGGGACACGGAGUCGGCGAGGUUACUUUGAGUAAAUUAGAGUGUUCAAAGCAGGCCUACGCUCUGAAUACAUUAGCAUGGAAUAACACGAUAGGACUCUGGCCUAUCUUGUUGGUCUGUAGGACCGGAGUAAUGAUUAUGAGGGACAGUCGGGGGCAUUCGUAUUUCAUUGUCAGAGGUGAAAUUCUUGGAUUUAUGAAAGACGAACUACUGCGAAAGCAUUUGCCAAGGAUGUUUUCAUUAA